Molecule: ribosomal RNA, 253 nt
Filed under: uncultured bacterium
Lineage: Bacteria
Description: partial 16S ribosomal RNA
Rfam family: Bacterial small subunit ribosomal RNA
Source: RNAcentral
UACGAAGGGGACUAGCGUUGUUCGGAAUUACUGGGCGUAAAGCGCGCGUAGGCGGCUUUGUAAGUUAGAGGUGAAAGCCCGGAGCUCAACUCCGGAACUGCCUUUAAAACUGCAUCGCUUGAAUCCAGGAGAGGUGAGUGGAAUUCCGAGUGUAGAGGUGAAAUUCGUAGAUAUUCGGAAGAACACCAGUGGCGAAGGCGGCUCACUGGACUGGUAUUGACGCUGAGGUGCGAAAGCGUGGGGAGCAAACAGG